Molecule: long non-coding RNA, 375 nt
Organism: Saccostrea echinata
Lineage: Eukaryota; Metazoa; Mollusca; Bivalvia; Ostreida; Ostreidae
Exons: 3
Source: RefSeq, a predicted model, not a curated record
UCACUGAACACUGCAGUACGUACCGUAGACAUCUCUGACGUAUUUGAGGAAUUGUCUAUAUAUUGUUUCUUCAACCCUCCUCCUAUUAGUCCCUUCCUCGCUGAACUUGACGUCGAAUGUUUUGAUAAACUUUUGUACGUCCGCGGACGAACUGGUCUUUUUGCUCUGAUUCCGGAGAUUGGAGGAGCUGAUCCAGAAAGUCAGCUAAUGGCCCUCCUUGAAUAGCACUCAGACCUGGAAUUCAGAUAAAUAAAGAAGGAAAAUAGCAAUUUGCACAUCUAUAAGAAUCAAUUCGAAAAAUUCCCUCCUAGGUCCGCCAUAAUCUUCGGCGUUCUCCCCAUGGAAGUUUACUUCCAAUGGAUAUCUGAGGUUUUC